GAUGAACGCUGGCGGCGUGCCUAAUACAUGCAAGUCGAGCGAACAGACGAGGAGCUUGCUCCUCUGACGUUAGCGGCGGACGGGUGAGUAACACGUGGAUAACCUACCUAUAAGACUGGGAUAACUUCGGGAAACCGGAGCUAAUACCGGAUAAUAUAUUGAACCGCAUGGUUCAAUAGUGAAAGACGGUUUUGCUGUCACUUAUAGAUGGAUCCGCGCCGCAUUAGCUAGUUGGUAAGGUAACGGCUUACCAAGGCAACGAUGCGUAGCCGACCUGAGAGGGUGAUCGGCCACACGGGAACUGAGACACGGUCCAGACUCCUACGGGAGGCAGCAGUAGAGAAUCUUCCGCAAUGGGCGAAAGCCUGACGGAGCAACGCCGCGUGAGUGAUGAAGGUCUUCGGAUCGUAAAACUCUGUUAUUAGGGAAGAACAAAUGUGUAAGUAACUAUGCACGUCUUGACGGUACCAAAUCAGAAAGCCACGGCUAACUACGUG
Molecule: ribosomal RNA, 497 nt
Filed under: uncultured bacterium
Lineage: Bacteria
Description: partial 16S ribosomal RNA
Rfam family: Bacterial small subunit ribosomal RNA
Source: RNAcentral